AGCAGCCGCGGUAAUUCCAGCUCCAAUAGCGUAUAUUAAAGUUGUUGCAGUUAAAAAGCUCGUAGUUGAAUUUCGGGAUUAGUACGUUGGUCGUGCCUUNGGUACGUACUGGUGUUACUGNUUCCUACCUUCUGACGAACCAUCAUGUCAUUAAUUUGGUGUGGNGGGGAAUCAGGACUGUUACUUUGAAAAAAUUAGAGUGUUUAAAGCAGGCUCGCGCUUGAAUACAUUAGCAUGGAAUAAUGAAAUAGGACGUUGACCCUAUUUUGUUGGUUUCUAGGAUUGACGUAAUGAUUAAUAGGGAUAGUUGGGGGCAUUAGUAUUCAAUUGUCAGAGGUGAAAUUCUUGGAUUUAUUGAAGACUAACUACUGCGAAAGCAUUUGCCAAGGAUGUUUUCAUUAAUCAAGAACGAAAGUUAGGGGAUCGAAGACGAUCAGAUACCGUCGUAGUCUUAACCAUAAACUAUGCCCGACUAGGGAUCGGAUGAUGUUAUUUUUAAUGACU
RNAcentral lists this ribosomal RNA (504 nucleotides) under uncultured Glomus. RNAcentral's name for it is "SSU rRNA". It matches the Rfam family "Eukaryotic small subunit ribosomal RNA", at positions 569 to 1076 of the family's 1831-position model. Lineage: Eukaryota; Fungi; Glomeromycota; Glomeromycetes; Glomerales; Glomeraceae. The record is from RNAcentral.